RNAcentral lists this ribosomal RNA (387 nucleotides) under Chaetoceros sp. Its description in RNAcentral is "partial small subunit ribosomal RNA". It matches the Rfam family "Eukaryotic small subunit ribosomal RNA", at positions 582 to 975 of the family's 1831-position model. The record is from RNAcentral. Lineage: Eukaryota; Bacillariophyta; Thalassiosirophyceae; Chaetocerotales; Chaetocerotaceae.
AUUCCAGCUCCAAUGGCGUAUAUUUUAGUUGUUGCAGUUAAAAAGCUCGUAGUUGAAUUUCUGGUGGGAAGAUGCGGACGGCCUCAUGGCUUGUUCCAAGUCUUCCGGCCAUCCUUGGGUGGAGCUCGUCUGGCAUUAAGUUGUCGGGCGGGGGAUGCCCAUCGUUUACUGUGAAAAAAUUAAAGUGUUCAAAGCAGACUUAUGUCGUUGAAUAUAUUAGCAUGGAAUAAUAAGAUAGGACAGCAGUGCUAUUUUGUUGGUUUGCGCACCGUUGUAAUGAUGAAUAGGGACAGUUGUGGGUAUUUAUAUUCACUUGUAAGAGGUGAAAUUCUUAGAUUAAGGGAAGAUAAACUACUGCGAAAGCAUUUACCAAGGAUGUUCUCAUCA